GCUUCAGGGCAGGGGGAAGUUCCCGACCGGCGGUUUAGCCCGCGAGUGCCAGGUACAUCGUUUCGGAUGGUUUGUUCAUGAAAAAACGUUGUACGGAUGACACAUGAUCCGGUGUAAUUCCGGAGCCGACAGUACAGUCUGGAUGGAAGAAG
This 152-nucleotide non-coding RNA is filed under the name uncultured Eubacterium sp. RNAcentral describes it as "FMN riboswitch (RFN element)". It matches the Rfam family "FMN riboswitch aptamer (RFN element)". Rfam says of the family: The RFN element is a highly conserved domain that is found frequently in the 5'-untranslated regions of prokaryotic mRNAs that encode for flavin mononucleotide (FMN) biosynthesis and transport proteins. This element is a metabolite-dependent riboswitch that directly binds FMN in the absence of proteins. In Bacillus subtilis, the riboswitch most likely controls gene expression by causing premature transcription termination within the 5' untranslated region of the ribDEAHT operon and precluding access to the ribosome-binding site of ypaA mRNA. Lineage: Bacteria; Bacillati; Bacillota; Clostridia; Eubacteriales; Eubacteriaceae. The record is from RNAcentral.